UUUGGUCGCUCAGCACUGCGUGUCCGUCUCAGCGUGAGCCUCGCACUCAGCAGGGAGGCCCCGAGAACGGCGCGGGACACAGGCCCGCCGAAGCGGGCUGGCAGUCUCCUCUCCUCUCACGAAGCGGUCACAGACCCAGAUUGCUGAAUCCCACCCCCAAGGCGCAAUACUAUUGGAGGAAGAAGGGAAGCUCCUCAAGUCUCAUUGGAGAACACAAAGUAGCCCGCCCCGUGCUGCCUAAGCCACAGGCCUAAGAAAUCGGCUCCCGCCUCCGCCGGUCAUUGCAUUGGAAGGCUACCUUUGGCUCUCACACCGCCCCAGGAAGGUAAGUAACCGAUAUGGGGUAAAAUGUCUGUAAGUGAAACAGGCUCCUCCUACCACACUUGCCGGCCAGGCCCCGCCCCAAGAGUCGGAUUGGAUAUCUUGACGCCGGUAGGAACCUCCAUUGGACACCUCGCCUGUCCAGGAAGCUGAUUCCGCCCUGCGCGAGAAGACUGAACCUGAGCAGUCCUUUUGUGGAAUGUUUACACUAGAGAGUGAAGCUCAGAGUUCGAAGGCCUGGGACAGGAGGUGACAACGAGGCUCAGCACCCGAGACCCGAGGCCCUGGGAUCUAAAGGGGAAAGGCGGUAAUAUUACUGCUCUGAAGGACUCCCUUACCAAAACAAUGAAAGAACCUCAUCCUUCCCACCCAGUUAUCUUCACAAUUAUACAUGCUGUCUCUUUGUAAGCACAAAUAUCUAGAGCGGCCGGCAGCUCCUUUCAGUAAGUGGAGUAUUGAACUAAGGCUUGGAGCCCAAGCCGAGAAAUAACCUGGGGGGGGGGGGGUUGCCACCCCUACGAUAGGGUGGCUGCACGUUAACUCUCUGAACAUUCCCUGAACCUGAAUAUGUAGUCCUAAGAGGGCGGAGAUAACCAAAGGGCGGCCCCUAAAAGCCACCGCCCUGACAAGCCUCCGGGAGGCGGGGCCUAAUGUUUUCCGCGAUCUCUAGGGCAGAUCUGGAGGCAUCCUCAGACUGGAGGAACUCAGAUACGGAGGAAGAGACCAAAACAGGCCAUGGCAUAAAUGAACCUUGAAUAUAUUCACACUGAGAAAGGAUAAAAACUUCAGGGUUGGGGUCAAGAGAUAAGAAAAGCUGUUCACGGCCAGCGUACGUAGUUUCAGUUACCCUGGAUGCUUGAAGCAAAAGGAUCGCUUGAACCCAGGGCUUUGGUCUAGCUUGGGCAACAAAUCGAAACCCUAUCUAUAAAAAGGGAGCUGUUUAUCUCAUCCUUGCCAAGGUGUGCUAAUGGAAGUCCCUAGGUUCCCUGUGUAGAUAAUAAUGCCUCCAACACAUAGAUUGACAAAGUGCUUGAGAUACCUAGUUGCUUUUAUUUAUUAACCAAACAGGGCUUGGGCCAGACGCUGACUGGCCUUGCUUUGGGGGACGCUCUGGCGGCGUCAGGAGAAGGGGCGGGACUAGUCUUCCCGCUCUCUCCAGCAAAAAAGAUACAUUCCCCAUCGACUUGAAUUCCUCAAAAGGCCCCAGUGAACUCAAUUCUUAGAUCCAAUACUGUCAUCCUUCCGCAAUUCCGCGGAGACGGUCCAAAACGAGGGCUGGCAACAGGUGGGUCUGAUUUCCAAGGAGGGCUUCCAGCCGCGAGUCCACAGCAGUGAGCUGUGAACUCCACGAGUGGCCGACAGGUGGGAGCAGCCUUUCGCCAGUAACCUCGGGACAAGGCACUAAAAAGUAAGGACUAAAGAAAGCGACCCCAGGUGGCCCUCGGGGCCUCAUAAACUCUCGGAAGUUAUUAAGACGCGAUAUUCAGCACUCACCAACGGCUACCUUUUAACUCCGGCCGCCUUCCUUCCCUAGACUGGGUACCGCAUGGCAGUCGCACCUGGACAUCAAAAAACCACUCUGAACCCGCGCCAGAAUUAGGCCGCCCUCAUAUCCCCUGACCACAGGGGACGGGCUGCCCUGGAUCUUGCCUAAGGUUUCAAACCAAGGUGGUCAGAGCUUUAGAUAAAGCCAACUACUGACGCGGCUGUCUUGCCCAGAGUAGAAAAGACAAAGCUAUCAUGGGCAGCCUUCUAGCUUUUAAGCUCAGGAAAGUUAAGGAGCGUGGAAACAGCCAGGCCACCACAUAAAUUUAGUACUUCUCCUUGGCCCGAGAGGGGAGAGCCCACGCCCUGAUCUCAGCGCCUCAAGAACCCCAGAGCUACGCGCCCCAAAUCCACUCCACCCAUAAUCCCCGAGCUUCAGUCACCCCGAAGUCUACCAGAUCUCCAGCCUCAGAGGAAUCUUUGUGCGCCUCCUCGUAUCUCCCCGCCCCCCUCGCCAAGGGCGCCGAGUCUAGGACUUCCGGGCGGGAGGGCAGUUCGAAGGAGCUAGGCGGGCCUCACACAUGUGCAGAGCGCGCUCCCGAGCGAAGGGAGAAGGGCGGAGAACACGGCUGGACUUCCCCCUCCAAGCUCCGUCUGCGGGAGAGGCGGGCUUAUCCAUUCCUCCAACCAGACGCAGGGGCGGGACCUUGCGCUGCACGUAAGCCAGGAGAAUCCUCCUCCGCCCUUCACGGGGGUGGGGGGGGAGAAUCCUAGCAACUUAAACUCCAGCCCAGCCUCCGGAUAGGCGGAGCUCAGGAGAAUGCCAUCCAAUCCAUAUCCGAGAUGGGAAAAAGGGACUCUCUCCCAACCAGUGGAAGACAAGAGGAGGCGGGGGUUCUUUUGGAGCCUGAGGUGGGUGGAAGAGAGGAAACAGCCCCGCCCCACGGGUCCUCUCCAGGCCGGUUGCACAAGGCACCGGCGGAGUAGAUAGUAAACAGUCUGGGCCGAGAAGUGGAGGCAGGGGUAGCCCCGCAGCACUCCAAGGAGCGGUCUUUCGCUCCUAGUCCCAUCGCUGCGCCGCCAGACGCCGGUGCUCCGCCUCUCCAACAGCGGCCGCCAUCCCGGCUGACAGGCGCGCCCCCUGCGCCCCUCCCCGCCCGCUGAUGCAUUUCCUUUUCCCGAUUCUGAACGUGGAGACUGUUUUCCCAGUUUCCGACCUUCACUGCCCCUUUCAGACCACCCCCCAACCUUGUGGGCGCGCAUACUAGCCCCCCGCCCACUCCUGGGUCUUGCUGCCCGCCGCGGCACCUCGCGGGAAGAGGGAGCCCGGCAGUCCGGCACGGUCGGGGGAGGGGAAAGGAGCAGCAGCGGCGGCCGCCGCCGCCUUGGGGUGGGCGGGGAAGGAGGCAGCUCCAUGUUUGCAAGGGGAUCAGCUGGGGCUGCGAGUCGAAUCCGCCGAGCUCCUGGAGGUUUUCCACACCCCCGGCCUGAGCUCUGUGCCGGCCCGCGGCCUGACGGACUCCGAAGCCGAAUGUUAGCUCGACUGCUUUGGCCCAGGAGUUCAGGGAGCCCAAAGCGGCACGCGGGGCUAGUGGCGAGGCGCAGGCGGCUCUUUCCGGCACCUCUCCCGCCCCCAAGCUCCCCUCCCGCAAGUCCGGCGUUGCCCCCGCCCCCAGAGUCCUUAACAACCGCGGGCCCAAUGCGCCCGCGCCUGUUCCGAGCGCGCCCACCGCCCCCUACGACAAGUUUGCGGGCAGAAACAAAACCUUCCGGCGGCUGCCGCCCUUGCUGGCGUGGUUACCCGGGAAAGCGGCGGGCCGCGGCUCGCUAGCUUAACUCCAGCUCUCGACCAACUCCGGGCGCCAAGGGAUCGGUGGGCCCGGCGGACCAAGCUCCGGCCGCCGCCCCCUGCCAAGCCCGCGCGCCACAGCCAGGCCCCUGUUCCAGUCAGUGCACAGAACCCCCCUUUUUUACAAAACAUUUCUUUAAAAAAAUAACCGGAGCGGAGGAU
Marmota monax (woodchuck) is the source of this 3817-nucleotide long non-coding RNA. RefSeq lists it as uncharacterized. The record is from RefSeq and is a predicted model, not a curated record. The transcript is spliced from 2 exons. NCBI's taxonomy places the organism in Eukaryota, Metazoa, Chordata, Mammalia, Rodentia, Sciuridae.